AGAAUCAACGCUGGCGGCGUGCCUAACACAUGCAAGUCGAACGAGAAAGUGGAGCAAUCCACAAGUAAAGUGGCGCACGGGUGAGUAACACGUGACUAACCUACCCUUGAGUGGGGGAUAACCUAGAGAAAUCUGGGCUAAUACCGCAUAAUACCUUCGGGUCAAAGGAGCAAUUCGCUUAAGGAGGGGUCGCGGCCGAUUAGUUAGUUGGCGGGGUAAUGGCCCACCAAGACUAUGAUCGGUAU
Molecule: ribosomal RNA, 245 nt
Filed under: uncultured bacterium
Lineage: Bacteria
Description: partial small subunit ribosomal RNA
Rfam family: Bacterial small subunit ribosomal RNA
Source: RNAcentral